Molecule: ribosomal RNA, 305 nt
Filed under: Escherichia coli
Lineage: Bacteria; Pseudomonadati; Pseudomonadota; Gammaproteobacteria; Enterobacterales; Enterobacteriaceae
Description: bacterial SSU rRNA
Rfam family: Bacterial small subunit ribosomal RNA
Source: RNAcentral
AGCUUGCUGUUUCGCUGACGAGUGGCGGACGGGUGAGUAAUGUCUGGGAAACUGCCUGAUGGAGGGGGAUAACUACUGGAAACGGUAGCUAAUACCGCAUAACGUCGCAAGACCAAAGAGGGGGACCCUCGGGCCUCUUGCCAUCGGAUGUGCCCAGAUGGGAUUAGCUUGUUGGUGGGGUAACGGCUCACCAAGGCGACGAUCCCUAGCUGGUCUGAGAGGAUGACCAGCCACACUGGAACUGAGACACGGUCCAGACUCCUACGGGAGGCAGCAGUGGGGAAUAUUGCACAAUGGGCGCAAGC